CGGAGACACAGCUUCCUCUGUAGGGAGGACCAAGAGUGCCCGAGCAAACCCUCCAAGAAAAACAAUAAAGACAAUAAAGAAAACAACCACAGCAACUUGUGAAGGCCUCAAUGACCCCGUCAGCUGGCGACCGGGAACACGAGAGCUCGCUCCAAGACAAAGAACAUCAUUCAAAAGCAUUUUUUUCACCACUGACCCUUACAACAACAACAACAACCAGAAUUCUUCAUGAGACAGUUGAGUUUGGGUCUUCUUUUUGCUCGCGUGAUUCACUUCAUCAGCGAGUUCGCGGAGUCUGACCUAGACGCGGCGGAGUCGACCUUACGUGACCUCUAUCGACUCAUUCGCUUCAAGCCAAUCCAGGCUGAGCUUCAACGUCCCUCCGCAUUUAAACCUAAGCCCAAUGAAAACACUGAACAAAGUAUCCACCCCCGGGUUCAAAGGCACGACUGAUCUCACAGACGCGCUGGUCGGAGCCGCGGAGAACGUUUUCCAUUUCUGUACCUGGGCCGACGGGUCGCAGGGUCCACUCGCUGAAGAGGUCCUGAGCCUGAGAGGGCCCCGGUUUUAAUCUUCCCGAGUUGGUUUUCACAUCGGCCUUCUUGUUGCUGUCCAC
This is a long non-coding RNA of Scophthalmus maximus (turbot), 616 nucleotides long. RefSeq lists it as uncharacterized. NCBI's taxonomy places the organism in Eukaryota, Metazoa, Chordata, Actinopteri, Pleuronectiformes, Scophthalmidae. The transcript is spliced from 3 exons. The record is from RefSeq and is a predicted model, not a curated record.